Molecule: non-coding RNA, 274 nt
Filed under: Pan troglodytes (chimpanzee)
Lineage: Eukaryota; Metazoa; Chordata; Mammalia; Primates; Hominidae
Source: RNAcentral
ACCCGCGGCCCGCCCCUGGCCGCCCGACGGGAGGGAGGGAUCGGGUUCUCCUAGGAAGUUUCAGUAUGCAUUCUUAGAAACCAGAUAUACAAAGACAAGAUCUCUGCUUUCAAGAAGCUCUCAAUCUGAUUGAGGAGAGAAACAGGUAGCAAAUAAUGACAGCAGAGCAUGUGAAGAUAAAAUGAUCAAGUCAGAUUUGAAGAAUUGACUGUUGGAGGUCAUUCAACAUUUAUUCAACCAAAAAUACUAAGUCAGCUCUAUACAAACUAAUGGA